CAGGAAUUUGUUGGAAGAAAAUAAUGCAAUUUAUUGGCUUGCUCAGUUUCCUAAAAAUGUUACUAUGCCUGCCUCAUGGAUUGACCUUGGUAUUGCCAUUGGAGCUUCACCUUCUCCCUCCAUCAGGAAACUUAAGACCAACUCCAUUUGAUCUGAUCAGAGGACGUCUAUAAGGACCAACACAGUGUCACAUUCAAAAGCAUCUUUCUCCCCCUCCAAUCAACCAGUGUCCUGGGGCCUUCUUACCUCUGGGUAAGUUCUUUGCUAUCUUGGGCUCUCCUAGAGGUGGACAAUGAUCUUCCUUUUGGUUGAGAGUCCUAAUUGAGGAGCCUUAAG
RNAcentral lists this long non-coding RNA (336 nucleotides) under Gorilla gorilla gorilla (western lowland gorilla). RNAcentral's name for it is "lncRNA (ENSGGOG00000044239.1)". Lineage: Eukaryota; Metazoa; Chordata; Mammalia; Primates; Hominidae. The record is from RNAcentral.